This 443-nucleotide ribosomal RNA is filed under the name uncultured bacterium. Its description in RNAcentral is "partial 16S ribosomal RNA". It matches the Rfam family "Bacterial small subunit ribosomal RNA", at positions 338 to 795 of the family's 1533-position model. The record is from RNAcentral.
CCUACGGGUGGCAGCAGUGGGGAAUAUUGGGCAAUGGACGCAACUCUGACCCAGCAACGCCGCGUGAAUGAUGAAGGUCUUCGGAUUGUAAAGUUCUGUGAUGGGGGAUGAACACAAUGACGGUACCCCAAUAGCAAGCCACGGCUAACUACGUGCCAGCAGCCGCGGUAAUACGUAGGAGGCAAGCGUUAUCCGGAAUGACUGGGCGUAAAGGGUGCGUAGGUGGGUUUGUAAGUUGGCGGUGUAAUUCCGGGGCUCAACCUCGGAGCUGCUGCCGAAACUGUUCGACUAGAGUGCAGGAGGGGUAAGUGGAAUUCCUAGGGUAGCGGUGGAAUGCGUAGAUAUUAGGAAGAACAUCAGGGGCGAAGGCGACUUACUGGACUUUAACUGACGCUGAGGCACGAAAGCGUGGGGAGCAAACAGGAUUAGAUACCCGUGUAGUC